RNAcentral lists this unclassified non-coding RNA (196 nucleotides) under Thelonectria rubi. RNAcentral describes it as "partial internal transcribed spacer 2". The record is from RNAcentral. Lineage: Eukaryota; Fungi; Ascomycota; Sordariomycetes; Hypocreales; Nectriaceae.
ACACCCCUCAAGCCCCCGGGCUUGGUGUUGGGGAUCGGGAAUCGCGCUGGCGGAAGCCCCUCGGGGCCCCCCCGCCCGCCGCGCCCGUCCCCCAAACGCAUCGGCGGUCACGCCGCGGCCUCUUGCGCGUAGUAGCUAACACCUCGCGCCGGAGCCCGUCGUGGUCCACGCCGUAAAACCCCCGACUUUCACACAA